This 428-nucleotide ribosomal RNA is filed under the name Gemmatimonadota bacterium. RNAcentral describes it as "Gemmatimonadetes bacterium partial 16S ribosomal RNA". It matches the Rfam family "Bacterial small subunit ribosomal RNA", at positions 355 to 776 of the family's 1533-position model. Lineage: Bacteria; Pseudomonadati; Gemmatimonadota. The record is from RNAcentral.
UAGGGAAUCUUCGGCAAUGGACGAAAGUCUGACCGAGCAACGCCGCGUGAGUGAAGAAGGUUUUCGGAUCGUAAAACUCUGUUGUUAGAGAAGAACAAGGACGUUAGUAACUGAACGUCCCCUGACGGUAUCUAACCAGAAAGCCACGGCUAACUACGUGCCAGCAGCCGCGGUAAUACGUAGGUGGCAAGCGUUGUCCGGAUUUAUUGGGCGUAAAGCGAGCGCAGGCGGUUUCUUAAGUCUGAUGUGAAAGCCCCCGGCUCAACCGGGGAGGGUUAAUGGAAACAGGGGGAUUUGAUGGGAAAAGAGGGUGUUGAAUUCCAUGUGUAGCGGUGAAAUGCGUAGAUAUAUGGAGGAACACCAGUGGCGAAGGCGGCUCUCUGGUCUGUAACUGACGCUGAGGCUCGAAAGCGUGGGGAGCAAACAGG